AUACGGAGGAUGCAAGCGUUAUCCGGAUUUAUUGGGUUUAAAGGGUGCGUAGGCGGAUGAUUAAGCGUGAGGUGAAAUGCCACUGCUCAACAGUGGAACUGCCUCGCGAACUGGUUGUCUUGAAUGCUCCUGCCGUGGGAGGAAUGUGUGGUGUAGCGGUGAAAUGCAUAGAGAUCACACAGAACACCGAUUGCGAAGGCAUCUCACGAAGGGGUGAUUGACGCUGAGGCACGAAAGCGUGGGGAUCAAACAGGAUUAGAUACCCUGGUAGUCCACACUGUAAACGAUGAUAACUCGCUGUCGGCGAUAUACAGUCGGUGGCCAAGCGAAAGCGAUAAGUUAUCCACCUGGGGAGUACGACCGCAAGGUUGAAACUCAAAGGAAUUGACGGGG
Molecule: ribosomal RNA, 393 nt
Filed under: uncultured bacterium
Lineage: Bacteria
Description: partial 16S ribosomal RNA
Rfam family: Bacterial small subunit ribosomal RNA
Source: RNAcentral